UGGGGAAUUUUGGACAAUGGGCGAAAGCCUGAUCCAGCAAUGCCGCGUGUGUGAAGAAGGCCUUCGGGUUGUAAAGCACUUUUGUCCGGAAAGAAACCCUUGGCUCUAAUACAGUCGGGGGAUGACGGUACCGGAAGAAUAAGCACCGGCUAACUACGUGCCAGCAGCCGCGGUAAUACGUAGGGUGCAAGCGUUAAUCGGAAUUACUGGGCGUAAAGCGUGCGCAGGCGGUUUGCUAAGACCGAUGUGAAAUCCCGGGCUCAACCUGGGAACUGCAUUGGUGACUGGCAGGCUAGAGUAUGGCAGAGGGGGGUAGAAUUCCACGUGUAGCAGUGAAAUGCGUAGAGAUGUGGAGGAAUACCGAUGGCGAAGGCAGCCCCCUGGGCCAAUACUGACGCUCAUGCACGAAAGCGUGGGGAGCAAACAGGAUUAGAUACCCUGGUAGUCCACGCCCUAAACGAUGUCAACUAGUUGUUGGGGAUUCAUUUCCUUAGUAACGUAGCUAACGCGUGAAGUUGACCGCCUGGGGAGUACGGUCGCAAGAUUAAAACUUAAAUGAAUUGACGGGGUCAUAGCUGUUUCCU
This 584-nucleotide ribosomal RNA is filed under the name uncultured bacterium. Its description in RNAcentral is "partial 16S ribosomal RNA". It matches the Rfam family "Bacterial small subunit ribosomal RNA", at positions 355 to 1375 of the family's 1533-position model. The record is from RNAcentral.